Manis pentadactyla (Chinese pangolin) is the source of this 3030-nucleotide RNA transcript. It is a transcript of the gene named NADH:ubiquinone oxidoreductase complex assembly factor 7, with no coding region annotated. NCBI's taxonomy places the organism in Eukaryota, Metazoa, Chordata, Mammalia, Pholidota, Manidae. The transcript has 11 exons. The record is from RefSeq and is a predicted model, not a curated record.
GUACUUCCCAUCAGAGCCGCGACUCCUCCGCGCGCCGCCGCGGGAUAAGCCCGGCAUGAGUGUGCUGCUGAGGGCCGUGGCGGGGCCGCCCAGCGCCGCAGCGCGCGCGGUGAUUCCUUGUCUUUGGAGAGGAAAAUACUUCAGCUCCGGGAAGGAGCCGGCAGAAGGCAGCCCGGUGACUCCAGUGCUGCGGCAUCUCAUAUACAAAAUCAAGUCUACUGGCCCCAUCACUGUGGCCGAGUACAUGAAGGAGGUCUUGACCAACCCAGCCAAGGGUUAUUACGUAUACCAUGACAUGCUAGGAGAACAAGGAGAUUUCAUUACUUCACCGGAAAUAAGUCAGGUCUUUGGGGAGCUCCUAGGAAUAUGGUUCAUUAGUGAAUGGAUGGCCACUGGAAAAAGUGCAGCUUUCCAGCUGGUGGAACUGGGUCCAGGUAGGGGUACCCUCAUGGGAGAUAUUUUAAGGGUGUUCAGUCAGCUUGGAUCUGUGCUGAAAAACUGUGACAUUUCAAUACAUCUGGUAGAGGUGAGCCAAAAAUUAAGUGAGAUUCAGGCAUUAACACUGACUGAACAGAAGGUCUCAUUAGAGCGAAAUGCUGGCUACCCAGUGAAAGGUGUUACUAAGUCUGGGAUUCCAAUUUCAUGGUACCGAGAUCUGCAAGAUGUUCCAAAAGGGAACAGCUUUUAUCUGGCACAUGAAUUUUUUGAUGUUCUUCCUGUGCAUAAGUUUCAGAAAACACCACAAGGAUGGCGAGAAGUACUCAUUGAUAUUGAUCCACAAGUUUCUGAUAAACUGAGGUUUGUUUUGGCACCUUGUGCCACCCCAGCAGAAGCCUUCAUACAACUUGAUGAAACAAGGGACCAUGUGGAAGUCUGUCCUGAUGCUGGUGUUAUUAUUCAGGAACUUUCUCAACGCAUUGCACUAACUGGAGGUGGUGCACUGAUUGCUGAUUAUGGUCAUGAUGGAACUAAGACAGAUACCCUCAGAGGAUUUUGUGGCCACAAGCUUCAUGAUGUCUUAAUUGCCCCUGGAACAGCGGAUCUAACAGCUGAUGUGGACUUCAGUUAUUUGCGCAGAAUGGCACAGGGAAAAGUAGCUUCUCUGGGUCCAGUAAAACAACAAAUGUUCUUAAAAAAUAUGGGCAUUGAUGUCAGGCUAAAGGUUCUUUUAGAUAAAUCAGACAAGCAAUCAAGGGAGCAGUUGCUACAGCAGUAUGAUAUGUUAAUGAAUCCUAAAAAGAUGGGAGAAAGAUUUAACUUUUUUGCUUUGCUACCUCAUCAGAGACUUCAUGGUAAAAGUCAGACAAAUGCAUGUCAGUCAAAACCCUCUCCAUCACCUGUAGCUGGGUUUGGUGAACUUGCUUGGCGGUGAUACUAAAGUUUGGACUUUUUACUCCUAAGUCGGCCUACAAAACCAAAAUAAAGGGAACACAUUUCAUAUAUCACAGAUGGCAACCUAUAAAGAACAACAGUUGUACAACAAAAUAUCAGUCCAUAAAAUGAAGUCCUUCCUUAUGGAAGUUAGUUCACUGAUCAUUAAGGAUCUUCCUCCAUAUCGUCUGGAUUGGGAGCCAUAAUGAAGUGCUUUGGAUAUACAAGGUUGUGUGUGUAUGCAUGUAUUUCCCACCGGGCAUCGUCACUUUCAUGUGUGAUGUAACGUUCGCCAAUGCGUGUUUCAAAUUCUCUAAGGUCAAGCCAAGUCUGAUAGUCCUAGAAAAAAUGCAGUGAUUAUGAACCACAAAGGAAACAAAAUACAGUCAACCUUUUUUUUUUGCUUAACAUCCUAGUCAUAACCAACAACCCCUACUCAUCAGUACUUGCUAUACAAUAAGCUCCAUUUGUAAUAUUUUUAAAUUAGCAGUGUUAAAGAUAAAUACUUUUUCAAAUUCAGAGUCUCUGAACAAAGUAACUAGUUUCUAAAUUUUUUUAAAAAAUUGCUUCAGGCUUCUGAGGUGGUUAAUCACCAAAACAUUUUAUUCUGUCCCCAAAACGGGAAAGUGCUUACAGUCUAUUAUCAGGAUAAUUAAAUAAUAGUGGAGACUAUGAUUGCAUUUGCUUUGAUGUUAAUUCUACUCUGCACUCCCUUUAAAAUAGUUCUAAAGCUCCUCUUUAUUCUGAAGUUAGGGGCAUCUUUUGACAAAUCUGUGCAAUAGCUUUUGGCUAAGGCAAACAUUUUAAUUGGCAUUUCUGAUCACUUCAGUGCAAAUACAAAUUUUUUAGUGGACUUUUUAAAAGUUAGAUAUAUUUGACAAAAUAAGUCAUGCUUAUCUUACAGAAAGAUGAGAUGAAGCAAAAGGCCCUAUAAAAGGCUAUAUUAUUGCUUUCAAUUUAUGGGAGUUGAACUGCCUAUCAGUUUGGCAUUUGAGUGGUAUACUGCAAAACUUCCAGAGAUUCAGCUGCAGCACAAAUUAGUCACUGCAGAACACGUACAUUAUUCUAAGAUGUAUAGAGUCUGUUGACCAUAGAGAGUGGUUUCUUUAGGUAAGACAAAUCACAAUGAAAUGCACAAAUGAGGAUCACCAGAGACUUUUUUUUACCUGUAGCCAGGGAUGACUAAGAGACUUGUCCACACUGUAACGUUUUCUCAUCUUCACUUGAAGUAGAUUGUUUAUCAAAUCUAUUGCUAAGGGACAAGACAAAAUUAGGUACAUGCAUUUGGGUGUGUGGAGCACCUCAAACCUGUGACUAUCAGGAAGGCAGUUCAAUCCAUGUAAACACAGGGUUGAGGAUUUUUGCUUCUCAAAGACAUGGUCUUUAAUGAUCCAUAAAUACUUACUGUAGUGUACCUAUUUUAUUAAGUGUACCUGUUUUACUGGGGAGGCAGUACAGAGUAAAGUGUAGAUUCUGGAGCCCCGUGCCUGGGCUUAAGUUAUUCUGCCACUUUGUGUGCUAUGGGGUGAGUUAGUAAACCAUACUGUGCCUUAGUUUCCUCAUCUGUAAAAUGGGGUUGAGAGGAUGAAACAAGUAUUACAUGUGAAGGGCAUGGAGGAGCUAAGUGCUAAGUAAGAAUAAACUACUACUUUAAGAUGA